Molecule: ribosomal RNA, 498 nt
Filed under: uncultured bacterium
Lineage: Bacteria
Description: partial 16S ribosomal RNA
Rfam family: Bacterial small subunit ribosomal RNA
Source: RNAcentral
AUUGAACGCUGGCGGCAUGCCUUACACAUGCAAGUCGAACGGUAACAGGUCUUCGGAUGCUGACGAGUGGCGAACGGGUGAGUAAUACAUCGGAACGUGCCCGAUCGUGGGGGAUAACGGAGCGAAAGCUUUGCUAAUACCGCAUACGAUCUACGGAUGAAAGCAGGGGACCGCAAGGCCUUGCGCGGACGGAGCGGCCGAUGGCAGAUUAGGUUGUUGGUGGGAUAAAAGCUUACCAAGCCGACGAUCUGUAGCUGGUCUGAGAGGACGACCGGCGACACAGGGACUGAGACACGGCCCAGAAUCCUACGGGAGGCAGCAGGGGGGAAUUUUGGACAAUGGGCGCAAGCCUGAUCCAGCCAUGCCGCGUGCAGGAUGAAGGCCUUCGGGUUGUAAACUGCUUUUGUACGGAACGAAAAGACUCUUUCUAAUAAAGAGGGUCCAUGACGGUACCGUAAGAAUAAGCACCGGCUAACUACGUGCCAGCAGCCGCCGUAA